Prunus mume (Japanese apricot) is the source of this 554-nucleotide long non-coding RNA. RefSeq lists it as uncharacterized. The record is from RefSeq and is a predicted model, not a curated record. Lineage: Eukaryota; Viridiplantae; Streptophyta; Magnoliopsida; Rosales; Rosaceae.
AUUUCAGUGUCUUAAUACAAAUUUUGGCUCACCAAUCUGGCUUCAAACAAUUGAUGCUGAGAAGAUGAUAGUAGCCAAAAGUUGAAGGACGUAUCUGGAGCCCUUUCUCAAGAAUCAGAACCACAUGUCAGCUGGACAGAUUCAUAACCAAACUCAAAUCCACAAUAUGCUCUGCCUUUAGAAAAAGGCUCUUUAGACAUUACAUUACUAGAAGCCGACCAAUAUCAGAAUCUUUACACGUACAGAUUUAUACUAGAGUCACCUAGACACCGAUCUUUGAAUCGAAUUUGAUCUUUCGUCUUAAGUUAGAUCAUAGCUUCUGCUGUUUCUUCUCCAAGAUGGCCAAGACACAGGCACAAGAGAACAAACCUCCAGCAGGAUACCCAACUGCAACUGAGAAUCUCCCAACUGGGAAGAAGUUUAGCCCUCAGACAAAAAAGAAAGCAGACAUGUGCGUUAUUGAGGGAUGCCUCUUUGCCUUAUUCUGCUGUUGGCUUUGUGAGGAAUGCUUCUGAAUUUACUAUAAGCACGACUACCAUAAUAGCUUCCUAGCU